UCCGAGUUUCUCUCGGCAGUGGGAUCUGAGAGAUACAACAGACCCCGAGGGUUGCGCUCGUUGCGGGACUUAACCCAACAUCUCACGACACGAGCUGACGACAGCCGUGCAACACCUGUGCGAGCUCCCUUGCGGGUCCCUCACCUUUCGGAUCGGUACCACUCGCAUGUCAAGUCUGGGUAAGGUUCUUCGCGUACCAUCGAAUUAAACCGCACGCUCCGCUGCUUGUGCGGGCCCCCGUCAAUUCCUUUGAGUUUUAACCUUGCGGUCGUACUCCCCAGGCGGGGCACUUAAUGCGUUAGCUACGGCACUGCCGGGGUCGAUACCGACAACACCUAGUGCCCAUUGUUUACGGCUAGGACUAA
This 365-nucleotide unclassified non-coding RNA is filed under the name uncultured Chloroflexota bacterium. RNAcentral's name for it is "uncultured Chloroflexi bacterium contains 16S-23S intergenic spacer region". Lineage: Bacteria; Bacillati; Chloroflexota. The record is from RNAcentral.